RNAcentral lists this ribosomal RNA (406 nucleotides) under uncultured bacterium. Its description in RNAcentral is "partial 16S ribosomal RNA". It matches the Rfam family "Bacterial small subunit ribosomal RNA", at positions 30 to 526 of the family's 1533-position model. The record is from RNAcentral.
AUUGAACGCUGGCGGCAGGCCUAACACAUGCAAGUCGAACGAGUGGCGGACGGGUGAGUAAUGUCUGGGAAACUGCCUGAUGGAGGGGGAUAACUACUGGAAACGGUUGCUAAUACUGCAUACCAUCAGAUGUGCCCAGAUGGGAUUAGCUUGUUGGUGGGGUAACGGCUCACCAAGGCGACGAUCCCUAGCUGGUCUGAGAGGAUGACCAGCCACUCUGUACAUGAGAUACGGUCCAGACGCCUACGGGAGGCAGCAGUUGGGAAUAUUGCACAAUGGGCGCAAGCCUGAUGCAGUCAGGCCGAGUGUAUGAAGAAGGCCUUCGGGUUGUAAAGUACUUUCAGCGGGGAGGCGUUACCCGCAGAGGAAGCACCGGGUAACUCAGUGCCAGCAGCCGCGGUAAUAC